AGGAGCGCGGGAACGGCGGGCGUGUCUGGCGGUGAGGGUGGCGCUUGCCUCUCCCUCCCUCCCGGUGAGGGUGAUUUGGCGUUCAUUCCCUCCUCACAGUGUCAUUCGGAGCCAGGUUGGCACUGAGGCUUCUGCACGAGGAGGAUUAUUCAAGUUGGUCUGGCAGUGCUGUUCUUUGAAAAUCUGGCCUUCUGAAUGUUCUCAACUUGAUUUUGCGUAAUAACCUCUAAUACCUCCCUAGUUUUUCCAUGAACCAGUGUUUGAAAAGCGUGAACACUAAUAAAGAAACCCUUACCUUUUAAUGAAGAGCAGUGGGUCUUGGUGGGCCAGAGCUGCGACUGGGCAAGUCCACUAUCAAAGUGGGGGGACACCCCUCUCUACUCUACCUUUGUCACUGCCCAAGUAUCUCUUUGCAUCUACUGAGUCUUCUGGAGGUUGGAGGGUAUGCUGGCUGGAGAGAGGAUGGGCGCCAGCAGCAGCUUGGCUGGAAGGGAUGACAGGGCCACUGUAAUCCAAUUCAUCAUUAGGUAAGAAAAGUCUGGCUUAAAAAACCGGGACUGAAAGUAGGAAAGGAGCAUUGGGCUGGAGUAUAGAGUAGAGACUGGAACCUACUCCAAAAUGGGAAAUAAUACUAAGUGCCAUCUUUAGGCCCAGGGAGUUGCUUUGUCCCCCUACCAGCACCUAAGUGUUACAUGGAAGAGAGAAGUUUCUCCUUCUAACAUCACAGGGACUACAAAGCUUUACAACAUUAAGUAAAUUUGGAGCAACUGAGCCAGGUUAAGAAAGUAGCUGUAGGCAUAGGCUAGGCAAAUGCUAAUAAGAGCAUAGAUGGGGCAAAACAAGUGGUGGAAAUUGAACUGAUGUUAACACUGAGGGGCCCCUCCUUUCCCUCCCACUUCCAUGGUUCCAAACACAUGGAGACACUGAGUAAAAAUAUAACAAAUCUUAUAGUGAAAUGCAAUCAAAAAGAAAAAUAUUAGAUGUUAAAAAUAAAGAAGAAACAUGAAAACGAGAUACGAAGCACAUGUGUUAAUGCCCUGAUGACUGAUCAGUGGAGUACUGCUCCCAAAUACAAUCCUAAUGGCCAGAAAUGUAGCCUUGGCCCUGUCAAAGCCACUGAGCUGGAACUGAGGUUCUUGCACGUAUUUCAAAGAUGGUGUGCCGUAGGUUUCCCUCUCUGUGAAAUUGUAUAUGGAAGUGGCAAGAGAUCUUAUCAUUAGUCUGGGACUCUGGGUAAUAAAAAACAAUUGGGGGACAAAAUUAAAAUAAGGUGGUAAAAAAAUACUAGGCAAUAAUGUCAAGGAAGUUGAGUGAGCUUACUAGAGAGCUUGAGAGAGAGGCAGUAAGUGUGCAGUUAAAAACAUAUACCCUGAAGACAGACUUCUGUGUUCAGAUCCUUGUUCUACCAUUUACUAACUGUGUGAUCUUGAAUAAGUUACUCCCCUUAAUUUUCUCAUUGGUAAAAUUAGAUAAUAAUAGUGCCUAUCAAGUACCUGUUUCAUCAAUAUUAACUUGUUAAUAUCAUUAAAAUGUUUAGUAUGUACCCUGAUCUAAAGAAUCCUUUUGGAAAAAAAUAGGAUUUGAAGACUACUUUCUUAAUCUCAUUAUGGUUAUUUAGCAUUCUCUUUAAAGUCAGGAACAGAAUAGGAAUGCCAACUAUUACUGAACUAAUUCGAUGUGCUUUAUUGUCAUAGCUAGCUAAGAAAAAAGAAAAAGCACUGAGGAUUACUUCUCUACCUGAAAAUUCCAAGUGGAUUUACAGACAGAUGGAAUACUUCUUAUUACAGAAAUAAUAAGAAUUCAUCAGGGUUGCCAUGUAUUUGAUCAGGAUAGAAUUAUUUGAAAUCUUAUUUGUCACUUUAAACAGUUCUUUUAAUGUAAUAAUAAAAAAUCACAGUUGAAAUAGUAGUAAAAACUUUUAUACCGAGGAAUAAAUCUAACAAAUGAUGUACAAGGCCAUUAUGUAAAAUAUUAUAAAAUAUUAAUGUAGGACAUAAAAGAAGACUUAAAUAAAUAGAAAUACCAUAGUUAGUGAAUAGCAAAACCCAGUAUCAUAAAUGUCAUCUCCUUACAAAAUAUUCAUGCAUUCUAAAUUCCAGUCAUACCUCAACAGGUGUUGUUUUGAUUUUGUGGAAUUUUAUGAGGUAAUUGUAACAUGCAUGUCAAAACAAUGGUAAAGAGCCAAGAACAGCUGAAAUAAUUGCGAAUAAGAAAGAAAGAGAGGAUGUGAUGUGCCACAUGGAAUGAAGGAAUUCAUGCCCCAAAUGCUAAAAGUGCUGCCAACAGGCACUUCUUAGUUGUUAGCUACCUUUGGAUGAUGCCCCAGUUGAAAAGAGCCAUCCAGCCCAAGGCCUUGGCCCAUGUCCAGGGUGGUUUACUGAUCAAUGCUAGGGGAUAAAAGGCCAGCCCUUAGUCCCACCUUAGGACAAAUGUGAAUGGCUACCCCAAUGAGAUUUGCUGAGUCCUUCAGAGGGACUGCAUCACAGCUCAACUUCUCCUGCCCAAUUCAGCUUCCUUCCUUCCCCUUCUACAGGUUUUAAUUCCAAGAGGAAUCAAUAAUAAACCUUCUGCAGGCUAAUAUUUAUCUCAGCAUUUUCCUUCCCCUUGAAAUCCAACCAGUGACUGGGGACUUUCUCUUUCAGAUAUCAAAACUUGUUUAUUAUAAGGCUAUAGUCCUUAAGAUAGCAUGGUACUGACUUCAGAAUAAAUGAAUAGAUACAUGAAACAGAAAAAGGAUGUAGCAACAGAACUUGGUGUAUGUGAAAAAUGACAUUAUAUUAAAUUGGAAAAAAAACACACUAUUUGGCAACAGGUUCUCUGGCAAUUGUCUAUUCACAUUGGGAAAAAAAUAGGUCUAUUGCCAAAAAAAAAUCCCCACAAGGAACAAAUACAUAAAUAUAAAAAGCAAAAAUAGUAAAUUAUUAAUAAAAUUUAGAACAGUGUCUUUGUGACAAGGCAGAAAAGAAGUUUUUAAAUAAGGUGCAAAGGCUGAAACCAUAAAAAAGAGACUGAUAAAUUUGAUUAUAUAUACCUUUAAAUUUUUUUAUUGUAUGUCCCAAACUUGGAGAUGUAUAAUCAAAAGAGUAGAACAUAUAUGUGUAUAUAUGUAAAUAAAUCACUUUGUUAUACAGCAGAAAUUAUCACAACAUAGUAAAUCAACUGUACUUCACUAAAAUUUUUUAAAAGUGGAAAAGACCUACCACAAAAAGAGUAGAACUCAGAAAAUGUAAAGAAUUUGCACAAUUAGUUGGAGAGACAGAAAACUGGCAAAAUGAAUGAACUGCAAAGUUGCAGAGGAUGAAACACAAAUGGCCAAAAACUCUAAGAAAAGAUGGUCAGACUCACUAAUAAUUAGUGAAAUAUAAUUCAGAGACACUAUUUCUCAUUUUCAAGAAACAGCAAAAAUAUGGAGUGCAAAUAUAACAAAUGUAGGGGAAGAUAUGAGAAGAUAGCAACAACUUCUUUGGAGAGGCAUUUGGUAAUAUCUUAGAAAUUUUAUUUCACACGUACACUUUUGAGAAACUCAUAGAAAUGUGCAUAGAGUGACAUAACGAAGAUGAUGAGUGCCAUCUUGUUUGUAAGAGCAGAUAUUUGGAAACAACCUACAUGUCAAUCAAUAAGGGAUGGAUGAAUAAUUAUAUAUACAUAUGAUAGAAUAGUAUACAGCAGUUAAAAAUAAAUUAAACACAUUUACCUAAAACAAAAGUCUUGAAAAUAUAGUAUGAAAUAAAAAUCUGUGUGCAGUAGGAUAUCAUUUAUUGAUCAAAUUUAAGCUUUUGAAAUAACAUUGUAUACAAUUUCUGAAAAAAAAACAUAUGAGUGGUAAAUAUUUCUAAAUGUGUUACAGAAGGGAAACAGAACAGCUUCAGAAAAGUCACUGUCUUUGGGGACAGGAGAAUGAGAUGGGAAAAAUCCUAAACUGUACUUCAUAUCAAGCUUGGAAUUAAUGGUCUAAAACCACUUGGACCUUUUUCAUCAACAUUAGAGCUGUGUUCUAAGACGGGGAAUGUGUGCCUUGACCUUCUGAUACUUUAGAAAAGAUCUCCAUCUUCCUGAGGUAGAGGUUAGUGCAGUCUUCUUUCUUUGGUUUCAGAAUUUUAACUGUAGUAUUUAUGAGCCUAGACAUCAGACAUCAGUCACAAAGUCUAGUCCAAAGUCACCUGGGGGCUUUCUUGUACAUCAGACUUGUUACAAGAUUUCAGAAUCCUAAGUGGUUUUUCUCCCCCCUGAGAAAAGAUAUAUGUAUUUUUUUUCUUUUUAAAUUUCAACCCCCCAAGUAUUCCAGGAAAAAAAUGGGGGACAUUGUGCUGUGUUUCCUUCAAUGGGCAUGUGCUGCCAAAGGUAAUGCACUUGCCCACACCCACGCCAUACCCAACCCAUGUCCCCUCUGCUCGGCCUGGGAUUGGAAGGUAAAUAGUAGACCUGGGAGCAGGGAGAGCUGGGAGGUGGGCCAGGGGAGCAGUUCUGUGGGGUAAGAAGUUGGACAGAGACUGAGGGAUGGUGGUGAGCUGCCCAAGUGUAAGUAUCUGUGCUCAGUGAUAGAACCACAGAGUUUGGCCAGGGCUGAAGGAACUGCACAGGUAUGGGUGAGGCAGAAUAGGUGGGGUGGCUCUUUCCAGUGAGCUGGGCAAGGGUAGGGCUGGGGGCUGGCCCUCCCUCUCUAACUGAUGAAAUGCCAAGGUCAUCCGUAGUCUGGCAUGCCAGCCUGGGAGGCCCAUCUGUUGCUGCUUGUCUGUAUGCCCGUGUAGGCUAAUUUAUUAAACAUUUGCUACACAAGUGAUACCAUAAUAAGGCUCUAUAAAAGUUAUCUUAUUUGAAUUAUAGUAAAUAAGCACUAAAUGAGUGUCUUUCAACUAGACUGAAUGUCAGGUAAAAUAUUACUAAAACUUUCUUCAGGAUUCUAGUUUUAGCCUGCCCUUUGCAUACAUGGUACAUAGUUGUGGUUUUUCUUUGUCAUUAGAUAUUUAUGUUUAACAUCUCUUCAUUAUUUUGAGAGUAAUAAUUACAGAAGUAAUUACUGAAGACUUUAUAACUGGAGGUGAUUCUGAGCAUUAAUUAUACAUUUGAAUUGUUCCUAUUGGGUGUUAGGAGAGCAUAGUGUUCUAAAAUUUUUGAGUCCCUAGCACCAUUGUUCCUGUUGGGAUUUUACUUAGUUCCUUAAUUGAGUCAUUUUCGUUUUAAUCAAAUUGUUGCUUGGAGCUAUGGUAAUACCAUAGAAAGUCCUAGUAUUCAUAUUUCUUUGCCUUUACAUGGCUAAUAGUCCAUUUUGAAAUCCAGUCCGUGGGUUAUGUUUCCCUUCACUGAUUUAUGUGAAAGUAAAACAUUAACAAGUACUAUAGCGUUACUUGUUUACUUGCCUUUUAAAGAGGAAUCCAAAGGUUAAUAAAAUGGAAAUGUUUUCUCAACAAAGCUUGGCUGUAAUAUUUAACUUCCAGUUUGUUUCUGGGAUCACAUCCACAAGGAAAGCUUUCCCUACUGUGUGGAAUUAUUUAAACAUGGCUGCUUUCAGUCCUGGCCUGUGCUGCAAAGGUUCUAAUCAUGGCUAUGUGUAGAAUAACUUUGGGAGAUUUUUGUCAGUAUAGAUGUUCAACCUCCACCACAGCUCUAGUGAAUAUGAGUCUCUAGGGUGAGGCCUGAGCAUCUGUAUUUUAAAAUCACCAACACCACUAACCACCAGCUUACUGAGUAAUUCUUGUGUCCAGCCAGAUUUAGGAACCAUUGUAUAAAGCAAUGAAGUUCUCUAGCUGAUCAAAAAGUGAAGGAAGCCAGGCCUUUACUUAGCCAAACAUUUUAGAAAGUCAGAAGUAUGCUCUGGGGAACAUAAGACUCUUCUUUUAAACUUAAUUCAAAGGUCAGUUCUAGGACCCAACCUGGGUUUACUGAAUCUGGAUUUUGGCGUCUCAGAAGUCUCUUUUCUAUGAGGGUCCCCAAGAGAUUUCCAUACAUGUCAAAGUUUUAUAACCUUUCCAUAUAUGAAUGAAUGACAGUCAACUGCCAAGAUGGAUACUCUGGUGAGUUCUCUGGUCGUAUUUAAUUCUAUCCCUGAUCUGCAGGAACCAUCAGAAUCAUCCUAAGGAAUUGCUCUCAUUUUUUUUCCAAAUAAUGAGUCCCCUUAAGUGAAAACUGUGAAUCCUCUUCCUAGAAACUUUCACGCAGGCACAUAUGCACAUUUGUAUUUUACAUUUCAGGAGGUUCACAGACAUGAGGCCAAUUCAUAUAAGCCAGAUUAAGAGCUCUUGCUCUGGAACAGAUAACUGAGUCAAUCAACUUCAGUUGAUUUUGUCUUGAUGGGCCACAGGACAUAGCAGCAGCAGGGUUAAGGAAGUACAGAGAAGUCUGGCUCAGAGAGCUAGAGUGGGCUGAGAACAGGGAAGAAGAAGCUUAUCCCUGAGUUAGGUCCCUGAUUAACAUGGUGUCUAAUCUGAAUGGAGGCCAUCUUUAUAACACCAUGGACCCAAGCAUGUGCAUAAAUUUUCUUCCUCUCUUUGGCCCAGUAGGAUUGUAAGAGGUAAUAGAAGUUUUUUCAAUGCAAUCAACAGUAUUUUAGCACCUACAGCAUGCUAGGUACUGCCAAGAGCUGGAAGUACAAAGAUAGAUCAGACACAUGUUCUGAUAUUAAGCAGCUCACAGAUAGUGACAUAUUUCAUAUUGCUAGGUCUUUAUAUCCAACUGGCCCUCUCAUAAAUCACACUAUCAUGGUCACGAAAUAUCCAGGCAAAGAUAUUAACUACAGUCUCAGAGAUUUUCCUGACUCCCAUCCAAUUUUGUCUUUCAGCCCCAUGCUUAGUACUUUGGUCCUCAGCUCCCCAGCUCCAUCCCAAGUUCUCCGUAUCUGUUUCUCCCCAUUUGGGCUUGAUGACCCAACUGAAUUUCUUUCUUGAGCAUAACAACAUCAUAUUUCUCUUGGACAUUUGGAUGUGAAUGCUCCCAUGGCUUUAGCGUCCCUGGAGCUCUGGCUUUCAACAUCAACUGUCCUGGAUCUCAGAGUCUUUAGUAGGCUGCAUUUCCCAACCUGGAGAGAAAGGCUCCUUCAUUUAUUCAUUCAACAGUAUUGAGUGUGACAGGUAAUAUUCUAGAUUCUGAAAUACAUUAGUGACAUAAACAGACAAACUCCCCAUGCUCCUAGUUUUUUUUGUUGUUGUUGCUGGUUUUUUUGUAGGAGGAAGCACAAUAAAUGUAUAAUCAUUAUAUACACAAACAUGUCACUAUUAUAUGUGGUAAACAUAGUCUAUUCCCAUUAUUCAAGGAUUCUAUGAGUGCAAAUCCUCUUGGUAAAAUUAUUUGUAAUUCCCAAAUCAGUACUCACAGUACUUCAUGGUCAUUUGCAAACAUGCCAAAGGAGUGAAAACUUGAAUCACCAGACAGGCGUGUUCCUAAAUGAGGUGAAACAAGGCAACACUCUCCCUUCUUAGUUCCAUUUUCAAACAGUCUCAAACUAACAAGUAUACUUUUCUUAGUGUACUUAGCACCAUUUUUCUCAUUUUUGUGUUCUUAGUAAUUUCACUGUUUAAAAUGGUCCCACAAGCAUAGCACUGAGGUGCUGUCUACUGUUUCCUAGUGCAAAAAGGCUGUGAUAACCCUUACAGAGAAAAUACGUGUGUUAGACAAGCUUUGUUCAGGCAUAAAUUGUAACUUUGAAGUUAAUGAAUCUACAGUAUAUAUUAAGUAAAGUGACCAUAAUGAAAGUGACAAUGAAGAAAAUAUUGUGACUGAGGCUCAUAGUAAGAACAGGGAUUUGGGGAGUUCCUGUCGUGGCUCAGUGGUUAAUGACUCCAAUUAGGAACCAUGAGGUUGCAGGUUCAAAACCUGGCCUUGCUCAGUGGGUUAAGGAUCCGGCGUUGCUGUGGUGUAGGUUGCAGACGUGGCUCGGAUCCCACGUUGCUGUGGCUCUGGCGUAGGCCGGUGACUACAGCUCCUAUUCGGCCCCUAGCCUGGGAACCUCCAUAUGCUUCAGGAGCAGCCCAAGAAA
Molecule: non-coding RNA, 7969 nt
Organism: Sus scrofa (pig)
Lineage: Eukaryota; Metazoa; Chordata; Mammalia; Artiodactyla; Suidae
Source: RefSeq, a predicted model, not a curated record